AGUCGUAACAAGGUUUCCGUAGGUGAACCUGCGGAAGGAUCAUUACUGGUAGACCACAACGCACUUAGGAUUUUAUCUCUCACGGGGUAUCUUCUUAAGGGUCAGACCAGAUAGUAGACCUAACCUUUUAAUUGACCUGUUAUGGGUCUAAAAAAAAGGGGUGGUCUUUGAACUAGGCAAUGCUGAGAGGACUCUAAGUCCAAUCGGUAAGGCUUAGGAGCACUAUGGUUUCUAAUAAACCUAUUACAACCCAUUACGAUGGAUGUCUAGGUUCCCAC
Molecule: unclassified non-coding RNA, 278 nt
Filed under: fungal sp.
Lineage: Eukaryota; Fungi
Description: partial internal transcribed spacer region
Rfam family: Eukaryotic small subunit ribosomal RNA (bases 1-45)
Source: RNAcentral